RNAcentral lists this ribosomal RNA (497 nucleotides) under uncultured bacterium. RNAcentral's name for it is "partial 16S ribosomal RNA". It matches the Rfam family "Bacterial small subunit ribosomal RNA", at positions 28 to 507 of the family's 1533-position model. The record is from RNAcentral.
GAUGAACGCUGGCGGCGUGCCUAAUACAUGCAAGUCGAGCGAACAGACGAGGAGCUUGCUCCUCUGGCGUUAGCGGCGGAGGGGAGAGUAACACGUGGAUAACCUACCUAUCAGACUGGGAUAACUUCGGGAAACCGGAGCUAAUACCGGAUGAUAUAUUGAACCACAUGGGUCAAUCGUGAGAGACGGUUGUGCGGUCACUUAUAGCUGGAUACGCGCCGCAUUAGCUAGUUGGUAAGGGAAUGGGUUACCAAGGCAACGAUGCGUAGCCGGCCUGAGAGGGUGAUCGCCUAGAUUGGAAGUGAGACACGGUCCACACACCUGCGGUAGGCCGCAGUAGGGAAUCUUACGCAAUGGGGGAAAGCCUGACGUAGCAACGCGGCGGGAGUUAUGAAGGUCCUCGGACCGUUAAGCUCUGUUAUGAGUGGAGAACAAAUGUGUAAUUAACUAUGCACGUAUUGACGGUACCUAAUCAGAAAGCCCCGGCUAACUACGUG